UACGGGGGGGGCAAGCGUUGUUCGGAAUUACUGGGCGUAAAGGGCUCGUAGGCGGCCAACUAAGUCGGACGUGAAAUCCCCAGGCUCAACCUGGGAACUGCGUCUGAUACUGGAUGGCUUGAAUCCGGGAGAGGGAUGCAGAAUUCCAGGUGUAGCGGUGAAAUGCGUAGAUAUCAGGAGGAACACCGAUGGCGAAGGCAGGUCUCUGGGCCACUACUGACGCUGAGAAGCGAAAGCAUGGGGAGCGAACAGG
This 253-nucleotide ribosomal RNA is filed under the name uncultured bacterium. Its description in RNAcentral is "partial 16S ribosomal RNA". It matches the Rfam family "Bacterial small subunit ribosomal RNA", at positions 524 to 776 of the family's 1533-position model. The record is from RNAcentral.